GAAUUGGGCCACUUCCUCGCCGCGCGCUCUCUUCCCCUCGUGUCGCCAGAUCCAUCAAAAUUAGGGAUGGAUCAUGCAUGGGAGAGGGUACACAAUUGUUUUUUCCAUGUCUUUUAUAUAUAAGAGGUUUAGAUUGAUGCUACCAUUACAGGUAGGUAGCCCAUCAAAAUUAGGAUCCGGAUCACCCUUAUUUACAACGAAUAUCCUGAGACGCUCGGUUAGUGGUUGUAGUGAGGAACAAGC
Molecule: long non-coding RNA, 243 nt
Filed under: Brachypodium distachyon (stiff brome)
Lineage: Eukaryota; Viridiplantae; Streptophyta; Magnoliopsida; Poales; Poaceae
Description: long non-coding RNA (BDIS_LNC004270)
Source: RNAcentral